RNAcentral lists this long non-coding RNA (820 nucleotides) under Androctonus crassicauda. Lineage: Eukaryota; Metazoa; Arthropoda; Arachnida; Scorpiones; Buthidae. The record is from RNAcentral.
AUGGGUGGGAACUACGGUGGCACCAACAUUUGCCGUCCAUCACAGAAUUGGGGUCGUUGCUAUCCCUUGGCUGUUGAAGAGUGGACAUUAACAAGUGACAGUGAGACUGCACAGAGAAUCAGGGGAAAGCAGGGAUUACCAUGGGCAGGAAAGGGCCAUAAGAGGAGAGCGCAGUGGGUGAGAGGCUUGAGGGGUGAGGGACUCUGCAUCCAGUGGCUGAAACCAAACAACAGAGCAGGAAAGGCCAAAGGGGAUGGGAAGCAAUUGGAGGGUUGAAAGAUAUGUACAUGGGUGCUGAGAGGGAAUGGUGGCCUACAGGGAAAGAGGGGGCUCUCAACCUGUCAUCAGGGAGAGCAACGCAAUGGGCAGGGACGCACCCUGCUUUCAGUGGAGGAGAGAUGCAGCAGUGGAGGCAGCGGAGGGACAGAUGAAGAAGUGGGGGUCUGGUGUAAAGUCCCGUGGGCAAUGGCUUGAUUAAAAGGGAGGAGAGAGGAGGCAGAGAGAGUGCAAGACUGAGGUAAAGGGAGCCAAAGGGAAAUGGUCGCUGGGGCCAGUGGGAGGAUCAGGCCAGGGACAGUCCAGGACUUAGGGAGAAGAAUGAGGCAUAGAGGGCAAGGAAAGACCGAGGAGAGCAGGUCACAAGAGGGAGCACCCUCUGUGGAGAAGUGGUGACCCAGUGCAACUUGAUGGGCAUCAGGAACAUUGAGAUGAGAUCAUGGCCCUUCGAGAAGGGCCAGAGAGGGAAAGGGAAGGAAUGGAUCACACGAGGAACAGUCACAGGAGGGGGUGUCCAUGUGGCGGUCUCCGUGCACCACCAAGG